RNAcentral lists this unclassified non-coding RNA (383 nucleotides) under Hevea brasiliensis (rubber tree). Lineage: Eukaryota; Viridiplantae; Streptophyta; Magnoliopsida; Malpighiales; Euphorbiaceae. The record is from RNAcentral.
GUCAGAACUCGGCAGCGGUAAAAUCUCAUGAAGAUCUUUUACAUCUUCUGCAGACUGCGGUGAAUAAGAAGACCAAGCAGGAAGGCUUCCAGCUCGCCUUAUUAUGCUCAGCUCAUCACUUCUCUCGGAUUGUGCAAGAAGCUUUGCAGCACCACUGUUCUGCCCCCCAAGAACGUUCCUAUUGCUAGGAAGUGUGCCAGAUGUGUUCCCAUUUCCCACUAUAUGAUACCCAAAACUAACAUUCAUGGUAGCCCCUUUAGCCUUACCUGACAAUUUGAAACUAGUCGUCCACCUACCUGAGCUUCUCUCAUCCUCCAAUUCUUCUAGUGUAAGAGGAAGCAACCUGGUAAGGUCAACCCGAUGCUUCCCCAAGUCAAGUUCAG